AGCUUUGUGCAGUGGCAGUAUCAUAGCCAGUGAAGUUUAUCUGAGACAUGAUUAUUGCUAAUUGAAAACUUUUCCCAAAUCUAGAGGCUUAUAGUUCUAAUCUUUGAGAACUAGAAGCUUAUGGCUCAAUGCUUUCACACCAGAG
This 145-nucleotide small nuclear RNA is filed under the name Castor canadensis (American beaver). Its description in RNAcentral is "U4 spliceosomal RNA (ENSCCNG00000031102.1)". The stretch from base 1 to 122 matches the Rfam family "U4 spliceosomal RNA". Rfam says of the family: U4 small nuclear RNA (U4 snRNA) is a component of the major U2-dependent spliceosome. The record is from RNAcentral. Lineage: Eukaryota; Metazoa; Chordata; Mammalia; Rodentia; Castoridae.